GACGAACGCUGGCGGCGUGCUUAACACAUGCAAGUCGAACGCUGAACCCGCUUCGGUGGGGGAUGAGUGGCGAACGGGUGAGUAACACGUGGGCAACCUGCCCCCGGCUCUGGGAUAACUCCAAGAAAUUGGGGCUAAUACCGGAUGUGACCGCUGGCCGCAUGGUCUGGUGGUGGAAAGGGUUUCCGGCUGGGGAUGGGCCCGCGGCCUAUCAGCUUGUUGGUGGGGUAGUGGCCUACCAAGGCGACGACGGGUAGCCGGCCUGAGAGGGUGACCGGCCACAGUGGGACUGAGACACGGCCCAGACUCCUACGGAAGGCAGCAGUGGGGAAUAGUGCGCAAUGGGCGGAAGCCUGACGCAGCGACGCCGCGUGGGGGAUGACGGCCUUCGGGUUGUAAACCUCUUUCAGCAGGGACGAAGCGCAAGUGACGGUACCUGCAGAAGAAGCACCGGCCAACUACGUG
RNAcentral lists this ribosomal RNA (465 nucleotides) under uncultured bacterium. Its description in RNAcentral is "partial 16S ribosomal RNA". It matches the Rfam family "Bacterial small subunit ribosomal RNA", at positions 28 to 507 of the family's 1533-position model. The record is from RNAcentral.